AAGGAGAACCUCAUCCUAACCUGAGCUGAAACCGACCACAUCAGAAAUAGGGAAAGAACCUUGUUGCGACGCCGACUAAGGUCCGACCGUUCGAGACCCGGCAAGAAAAAGAAAACUUUUGCGACGACCCCUCUACGCCACCGCGACCCCCUACCCCAAUGAAAAAUGGAGGCUGAACUACAUUAAAAGCACAAAGAACCUCAUCUCUAUGAAGA
Molecule: long non-coding RNA, 215 nt
Filed under: Elaeis guineensis (African oil palm)
Lineage: Eukaryota; Viridiplantae; Streptophyta; Magnoliopsida; Arecales; Arecaceae
Description: long non-coding RNA (EGUI_LNC074397)
Source: RNAcentral